UUGCUUUACUUGCUUUACUUGCUUUACUUGUUUUACAUAGCAGGCUCAUCAACUUGGAUUUUGGCAGUUUUUAUAUUGCUUGCCCUGCCAUUCUCCAUUUUCUACCUGCGGGCACUUCACAUAAGCUGAACAGUGAUAGUGAAAAGUAAAAAAGCAUCUUAUCAAUGCACUGCUGUUUUUUGCAACAAUUGCUCAUUGCUUGUACUCACCUCCUGUUUUGCGCAAUACGAAGUAGCUAAGUUUCUUAGCGAGCUUCUGCAGACAUCAAAUUUCAAACUAUAAGCAAUCACUAAUGUAAAAUUCUUAGCUUUGAAGCAGUUUGAUGAUAAUCAGUGAACAAUCGUGAUUUCUUAGAUUUUUGGGAGACCGCUGGAUAACCAGCACCUGAUCAUGACCUGAUUUAAUCUGGUGCACUUUACAGAUUGCCAAAGCACACUGCAUUGUGAACACAGAAUAGGACAUUUUUUUAUUCUAUUCUGUGUUUUCUAUUCUGUGUCGUGGACCAGAAAUCCAAAGGAUUUGCUUACAAGCAAGCAGAAGCUCGUAGUGCAACUUGUACUCUAAAUAGCUACUCCGCUGCAAUAGCAAUAAGGUAAAGCUUUAUAUUCUUGUUUUUAAUUCUUAAACUUUAGAGUCAGCCCAAUCACUGUAAUAUAAGCUAACCCUUCGAGACGUUAAGAUUAUAUUUUGGCCACGAAUAUAUUUUAUGAAUGCAUUUAUUCUAUACAAUAUUCUAUUAUUCAUAACUGUAAAGUCCUUUUGAUGUCUUGUGAUGUGCUGUUGAAUAUGUUCUUCAAUCCCAUUCUCCUGUAACUCGUAUUCUGUACCCAUGCUGUCGCCUUUCUGUUCCUAUUUGUUGACGAAUCAUCUGCAAAGCUGACUACUUGACUGCUCCAAACAACCUGUAAAUCCUCAUUCAUAUUCCUUGAAUCACUAUUGUACAAGCAAGUGGCGACUCCCUACUUGUAGCGAAUUAUUGCUUCAUACGAAUUGAAGUACCGAUUGUUCUAAGGUGAAAGACGGCACCCGCUAAACACCAUAGCUACUCCUACAGCUCGGCCCGUAUUGGCAAGUAUUUGCAAUCAUGUUUAAAUAGAAGCUGGAAGUUUUUAUCGCAAAGUGACUGCCGAAGUAUUGCAUCAUGUUGCUCUCAAGGACAUUCGAGGUGGAUUCUGGAUCCAUGAGUAGAAAUCAGCUGGGAAGAAGAGACACCCAAACAAGUGAAAACUUUUGGGCCGAUAUUCGCAACCUCUCGUUUAACGAGAAAAGUGACGUAGAGCCCCUAGCUCUGAAAGAGAGGAUUCGAUUCAACGUAAGUGGCACGAUGUUCGAAACAUUCUCGAAAACACUGAACCGUUUUCCAGAUACCCUUCUCGGAUCCAGUGAAUUGCGAGUGACAUACUACGAUCAAGCGGACGAUGUUUACUUUUUCGAUCGUAACAGGGACGCGUUUGAAAGUAUUCUGUUCUUCUAUCAGUCAUACGGAAAGUUGAUAAAGCCUGCAAACCUUGGACUAAAGCUGUUUAUCGAAGAGCUGAAGUUUUUCCAAAUGGGAGAAGACAUCAUCAAUAGAUUCAUGGUCACAGUUCGGUACCCUGAAGAUGACAACGUCCAACAAAGUAGUGGGCGGACUAUAUGUGGAAAAAUCUGGAACUUUAUAGAGGCUCCAAAAUCGAAACCGGCAAUGGCUGUCGCAUUUUUCUCCGUUGCCAUGAUUUGCAUAUCGGUCAUAAUUUUUUGCAUGGAAACAAUGCCAAUGUUCAAAUCUUCUGAGUAUGCGAACACGUUUGACGGUUUAGAAGCAGUUUGCGUGGCCUGGUUCACCCUUGAAUUAUUGCUGCGAUUCGCAACGGCACCGAAUAAGUUCACAUUUCUAAAGUCAUUCAUGAAUUUAAUUGAUUUGGUAUCCAUUCUACCAUUCUACAUGACAAUUUUUAGCAGUUUGGUGCAAGGCAGUAAACAAGCUCCACGGCUUGAGUUUCUUCGCGUCAUUCGCCUGGCACGUGUGCUUAGAGUUUUUAAACUUUCACGCCAUCUGCGCAUAUUCAAGAUUCUUGGACUUACUUUAAAGUCUAGUUUCCGUGAACUUAUGCUACUGUUGUUUUUUGUUCUCAUUGCCGUGGUUUUGUCUUCAAGCGCUGUAUAUUACGCCGAUCCGAAUUUUGAAAGUAUUCCCCACGCCUUCUGGUUCGCAAUAAUCACCCUUACAAAUGUAGGCUAUGGUGACAGUGUACCAACUAACGUCCCUGGUAAAAUCAUCGCAAGUUUAUGUGCGGUUUGUGGCAUCAUUGUCCUAGCACUACCAAUACCUAUAGUUGUAUCCAGUUUUAUGUAUUUUUACAAUCUGGAGAAGGAAAAUCAAAAAUUGGAGAAGCAAGAUAAACAAAACAAGAAAAGGCUAUCAAUGAUGAUUCCCAAUCAGGACAUCAAACAAGGCAUGUGGCCAUUGCACAAGCUUUCGAAAGCUAAAGUUUCCCCCGUUCCCAGUCAAACAGAGGACGAAGAAGAUACUUUGAGUAACGCGAGUGAAGGGGGUAUUGAGAAAAAAAGUGUGCCACUUGUCCAGACUCUUUCUUAGAUUUGAUGGAGAACAUUUGUUAUCUGUAUGGUGUUGUGCAAGAAUUUUCACAACUUCUUCUGCCAAGCGAUAAAGAUACCUUUGUUAUACAUAGUGAUAAACGCCUCGGUGCAGCUAUUUGUCUGAUUUUUCCUCUGUAGUAGAUACACAGAAUCAGGCUUCAUUCCAGUAACUCCAUGCUGGGAUGGCCUUGUUAUUGGUCAAGUUCUUAAUCUUCUUAAUCUUGAAUAUCACAAUCACGUGUAGUACUUACUUAGAAAACGAAGUCAAAAUUCAAAAUUUAAAGAGAAUUUACCCAUAUAAGCCAUGAUCGUUUUGGAAAACUGCGACUCAAUUUGCAUGAAACUUGAGCUGUUCUUAGUCAUAAUUGCAUGAUCGCUUUGCAAUAAAAUCAAAAGAAGCAUUAUUUAGUCUUUAUUUUUAGAUGUAAAGAUCGUCACUUCAAUAUUCGUUGAUUCUCUUUGAUCUAGCUAAUAGCUCUAAGGUUUGUAAAAAACACCUUGUUGUAAGGUUGCUAAAUGUUCAUACCUUGCCUUCAAUGUUUGCAUUCCGCUAACCAUUACCACUUAUUUUUGCCUGACAGUGCAUUACCCUGCACCGCUCCAAAGUUUCUUUGUCGAAAAAGUAUCGAAUCAGUUAAUUCUGUUAAAUAUCGAAUCUGGCUUGUUGUGUGUUAACUGAUAUCAGGGAAUCUUGUAAUCUUAUAGCAAUAGGUUGAUGGUAUUUAGCAGUAGCGGAUAAUAUGGGGGUUUGAGGGGACUCGACGCUCAACGAUCUCCUCGGAAUACUCGGGCCUUCUUCGUAAAUUUAAACAUAGCUGAUAAAAUAUUGGCCAAUACUAAAUAAUCAAGCAAGCAAUUUGUGACAAAAUCAAAACUGCUUGUGAAUUGUAUAUGUAGUUUCAAUUCCGUAAAGAUUAGCAGAAAUUUCCAUCGAAUUCUUCCAAAUUAUUCCCACAAACGUUUUUCCCACUGAAGAAAAUAGGUUAAAUGCAGAAAAUUAACAUUACAACUACAAUCAUGUUGUUAUCAUGAACGACUUGUCAAAAGUAUAAUCGUUCGAUCGCUUGUAUAAUCAAUUGUCUUAGAUGAGAUAUCGAUCUUGAUAUCAAAAUUCAUAAAUGGAUUGUUCUUCUUGCUACUUAAUUAUGCCGUGAUCUCAAAAUCGAGCGAAGUCGAGCAGUGAUGGCAAAACGAUUCGAUUUUUGGCUCGAUUUUCACUCGACUUUUCACUCAUUCCAACAAAAUUAAAACAAAGAAACGCAAAGCGGCUGCCGUGCUUAUUGUACAUGCAAAUGUCCUUUCACAUUUCUCUCGACGAACUCUAGCGUCAUAAGACCCUGGUCGUUCGUUUCAUGCAGUAGCCGUCACUAAAUAUUUUAUUUCGUUUAAGCAAUUUACUAUUUCUAUGCAUACGUUUGUUUCGUUUGAUUAAUUCAACUCUUAAAAUAGAAUUCAUCACUUUGAAAGGUACCCUGGACCUAGAGGUCCCAGGGUAGUAUGCUUUCCUGCCCCCUUUUGGCCGCUUUUCUUUUAAAAAUAGCUAAGCAUAAGAGAUGAUAACUGCGCACGUGCUCACUCAACGACUCGAUAUUUUACUCGAUUUCUUGUCGAGUAAAAAAUGGAGUGAAAAAUUGAGUCGUUUUGCCGGGGCUUAAAGUGUCCCGCCGAAAAAUCACUUAUUUUCGUCAAAAUUUGCAGUGUUGUUAAAAAUAGAAAUAAUCCAAGAUGACAUCUUGUCGGAAAAUCAUAGGCCUGCCCCCCCCCCCUUCUCCUAAAUGAAAGCCUGAAUUUCCGCCACUGGUAUUUAGAUGGUUGUGUGGACUUUCAAUACGUUGGAAAUAGGCUUGGCAAAGUUCGGUAAAGUGUCACAAUUUAAAAAGGUACAAUUUCUUAAUGGCAACCUGAUAACGUGUUAGAUAACAAUACAACAUCUCAGAAAACUGCAAUUAUCAGGUUUCUAGAUGCAGUGCGAAUAGGGCCUUAUUUUGGAUUCCUUUGGGCCAUAGUUUGUAAACUUUGGUAACCAGAAAUUAGCCCGUUAAGUUUUGCUCUGAUGAAGCCCCGUAUGCCGGGGCGAAAUAUUAGCCUUUACUGAUUUUCGUGUUUUUAUUGUUGUUUAUUCUCGGCGUAUUGCGGUGUUUCAUAUUUGCUACAUUUUUAUCGACUUUUCGCCGCAAGAACUCCUUGGAGCCCGUCGAGCAGCCUGCUACAGUGACCUUUUCUUCAUUCACACAUAACCAGAAAUUGGCGCCAAAUCUCGUAGCCUCCUAUCCAUAGAAAUUUCUAUGCUCCUAUCACUCUCACUUUUGGUAUCGAGGCGGAAUCAUAAUGGAACGAAACUUCGGGAAACUCGGCGUGCAUCUCUUUUUCAGCCUGACAAAACAGUUAAUAUUUGAUAUGGACAAGAAACAUGUUGAAAUUGGAUGUUAAGAAAUGCAUGAUGGGCAGUUUUUUACAACCUUUACCACUAGAAACACAGUUAAAAGCGUUAGCGUCAUCAUAAUUUGAUAUCUGUUAUCCGCAUCUGAUCUUCUUGAAGAAUAUGCGAAAGGCCUAGGCAGGCUCAGGCAUAUCAUUUGAACCUGUUUAAGAUGAAAAGGACUGCUAACAGGAAACUGUUAAGUAUAUCAUGUUUGACUCAGCUGAUCUGCUGUGGAUCAAUUGUGCUGGUGCAGUCUCUAAUAGGCUCUGGAUUUUGUUUGGAGAACCGGCAAUGUAUUCUCGAUUCUGUGAAAACAUUUCUGUUGAAUAUGUACUCAACAAUCCUGCUUGGAUGGUUUGUUACCAAAGCGGCAGUCAUCGAUGGAGAUGACUUAAUAUGCACAGAUUUAAAAAGCAAGGUAUAUUGUUUGCUCAAGUCAGUAUUUGCAACAUUUUGUGGAAAUUUCUUGUAUCAUUUUAUCACAGUUAUUUAUGGAGCCCCUUUUAUAGA
This is an RNA transcript of Rhopilema esculentum, 5512 nucleotides long. It is a transcript of the gene named GPI ethanolamine phosphate transferase, stabilizing subunit, with no coding region annotated. Lineage: Eukaryota; Metazoa; Cnidaria; Scyphozoa; Rhizostomeae; Rhizostomatidae. The record is from RefSeq and is a predicted model, not a curated record.